CCUACGGGCGGCAGCAGUGAGGAAUAUUGGUCAAUGGACGCAAGUCUGAACCAGCCAUGCCGCGUGCAGGAAGACGGCUCUAUGAGUUGUAAACUGCUUUUGUACGAGGGUAAACGCAGAUACGCGUAUCUGUCUGAAAGUAUCGUACGAAUAAGGAUCGGCUAACUCCGUGCCAGCAGCCGCGGUAAUACGGAGGAUUCAAGCGUUAUCCGGAUUUAUUGGGUUUAAAGGGUGCGUAGGCGGUCGGAUAAGUUAGAGGUGAAAUCCCGAGGCUCAACUUGGGAAUUGCCUCUGAUACUGUUCGGCUUGAGAGUAGUUGCGGUAGGCGGAAUGUAUGGUGUAGCGGUGAAAUGCUUAGAGAUCAUACAGAACACCGAUUGCGAAGGCAGCUUACCAAGCUACUUCUGACGUUGAGGCACGAAAGCGUGGGGAGCAAACAGGAUUAGAUACCCCAGUAGUC
This 460-nucleotide ribosomal RNA is filed under the name uncultured bacterium. Its description in RNAcentral is "partial 16S ribosomal RNA". It matches the Rfam family "Bacterial small subunit ribosomal RNA", at positions 338 to 795 of the family's 1533-position model. The record is from RNAcentral.